Molecule: small nucleolar RNA, 131 nt
Organism: Grammomys surdaster
Lineage: Eukaryota; Metazoa; Chordata; Mammalia; Rodentia; Muridae
Product: small nucleolar RNA SNORA17
Exons: 1
Source: RefSeq, a predicted model, not a curated record
CCUGCCCUUAGAAGCAUUGCAGGUGUGGUUGCUGUGUCACAUGUGCAUCAGUAGGUGGCAAAGAGGACAGAGGUGAUGUCUGUGCUCAGUGUUCUGACCUAUGAACAUCUUUUGAUUGGUAGCCUAACAUU